UACGAAGGGGGCGAGCGUUGUUCGGAUUUACUGGGCGUAAAGCGCGCGCAGGCGGUCAUCUACGUCUGGGGUGAAAGCCCGGAGCUCAACUCCGGGAUUGCCUUGGAUACGGGAUGACUUGAGGAUCGGAGAGGCAAGGGGAAUUCCACGUGUAGCGGUGAAAUGCGUAGAGAUGUGGAGGAACACCUGUGGCGAAGGCGCCUUGCUGGCCGAUUUCUGACGCUGAGGCGCGAAAGCGUGGGGAGCAAACAGG
This 253-nucleotide ribosomal RNA is filed under the name uncultured bacterium. RNAcentral describes it as "partial 16S ribosomal RNA". It matches the Rfam family "Bacterial small subunit ribosomal RNA", at positions 524 to 776 of the family's 1533-position model. The record is from RNAcentral.